Long non-coding RNA from Ornithodoros turicata, 264 nucleotides. RefSeq lists it as uncharacterized. The record is from RefSeq and is a predicted model, not a curated record. The transcript is spliced from 3 exons. Lineage: Eukaryota; Metazoa; Arthropoda; Arachnida; Ixodida; Argasidae.
GAUGAAUCCAACCAAUGCGACCACGGUUACCUCGGCUUGGUUUCGCGGUCGGUCGUUCCACAGCGGCUGGGUUCCACUGUUUUUCAAUAUGCAGCACGUGGUCGACGUAGCGUGAUUCACAAGCCUCGCUUCUCAGCCGACAGACUCCACCCCGACGGCGACCUCUGCCCUUAUGGAAAAAAAACUGAAGCAAGAGCAUGACUUCACUAUGCCUUAUAUCUUUACUUGGAACUACGUCUGCGUGGUGCGAGAACUGAAACGAGG